Molecule: ribosomal RNA, 340 nt
Filed under: Marmorana fuscolabiata
Lineage: Eukaryota; Metazoa; Mollusca; Gastropoda; Stylommatophora; Helicidae
Description: partial 16S ribosomal RNA
Source: RNAcentral
GUGCAAAGGUAGCAUAAUCANUUGGCUUAUAAUUGAAGUCUGGCAUGAAUGAAAGCACGGGUAAGAGCUGUCUCCUAUAUAAUACUUAAAAUUAGUAGGUGAGUGUAAAANCUCAUUUAUUUAUAAUAGACGAGAAGACCCUAGAAAUUUUGAUGUUUAAUUUUUGUUGGGGCGACAGAGUUAGAGACAACUAACUUUAAAUAUUUGGCACAGAGGUGAAAAAAUAAAUUACUCUAGGGAUAACAGCAUAAUUUAUUAAAGUUUGUGACCUCGAUGUUGGACUAGGUAAAAUAUUUUCCAGUAGAAAGUAUAUUCUGCUCUGUUCGAGCAAAGCAACCUG